RNAcentral lists this ribosomal RNA (250 nucleotides) under uncultured bacterium. RNAcentral's name for it is "partial 16S ribosomal RNA". It matches the Rfam family "Bacterial small subunit ribosomal RNA", at positions 524 to 773 of the family's 1533-position model. RNAcentral also lists the same sequence under 2 other names. The record is from RNAcentral.
UACGGAGGGGGCUAGCGUUGUUCGGAAUUACUGGGCGUAAAGCGCACGUAGGCGGCUAUCCAAGUUGGGGGUGAAAUCCCUGGGCUUAACCCAGGAACUGCCUUCAAAACUGGAUGGCUAGAGUCCGAGAGAGGUGAGUGGAAUUUCCAGUGUAGAGGUGAAAUUCGUAGAUAUUGGAAAGAACACCAGUGGCGAAGGCGGCUCACUGGCUCGGUACUGACGCUGAGGUGCGACAGCGUGGGGAGCAAAC